This 221-nucleotide long non-coding RNA is filed under the name Elaeis guineensis (African oil palm). Its description in RNAcentral is "long non-coding RNA (EGUI_LNC002011)". Lineage: Eukaryota; Viridiplantae; Streptophyta; Magnoliopsida; Arecales; Arecaceae. The record is from RNAcentral.
CAUGAGACGCCACUUGAUUUGAUCUAGUUGGAUGCGCCCGUUUGAUUGAGGGUAUGAAGGACUAGCUAGGGGGCAUCCCAUAUUUUCAUGUGGUGUGUGACACUACAAGAAAUAAGAUAAUUAGCUAUGCAAAAAAAGCAUAGCUAAAUAACAACAAAGUGUAGCUAAAUAUAACUACCAAUGUAAAAUAUGUUGGCAAAUAUGUGUCGGCAUAAGGGGGG